UGGAGUUUGAGCUACAGGAUGCAAAUUUCAGUUUGAAAAAGCUAGUCUUUGAUUUCUUGACUGACUGCGUGUAUUGGUUCCUGACUUCCCUGAACAGUUGCAUAUCGCGGGGACUAUUCGAUACUAGUGCAGUCCGCCACAGGAUGUUUUUGUGCUGGUCGAGGGCAGUCAGGUCUGGAGUGAACCAAGGGCUAUAUCUGUUCUUAGUUCUACAUUUUUUGAAAGGGGCAUGCAUAUUUAAGAUGGUGAGGAAAUUACUUUUAAAGAACGACCAGGAAUCUGUUUAAUUUCAUGAAUGCAACUUGUCCUUACCUAUUUUGUCUUCAACCUAGCCAAUACAGGCUCCACAGGAGGCUGGUGAGGGAAGAAUGGCUCAUAAUAACACAGGUUUGAUGUGUUUCUUACCAGUCAUUCCAUUCCAACAAUUACAACGAGCGUGUCUUCCCCAAUUAGGGUACCACCAACCACCUGUGAAAAGCUCACCUAUGGGGGUUGAAACGCCCAUACAGUCAGGUAAUAUAUUGGUGGCAUUGAUGUCUGUUUGCAUUUGACUCAUACAAGGCCACCAAGGUGAAAGGAAAAGUGUACUACUGCAGUGCCCUAGGGCAAUGGGAGAGAUGCUAGGACAACUAGGCUCCAUUAAAACCCCAUUGAUUUGAGGGAAAUAGCUCAUUAUGGAAUAAUGGCAGGUUCUAAAAGAAUGAUGUGAGUUGAAAUUGCAUAGUAUCUCAGCUAAUAAUCAUGUACACAGAAUGACCUCGGGUCCAAGUUGUACUACUGGAGCGCUUGAAUGUGGAGAGGCACUUAUUUUUCUUCCUUUGCCUCCUCCUCUUCCUCUCCCAGUUCAACUGCAUUCUCUGGGAUGGUCUCCAAGUUCAAAUCCAUGAUCAUGUUCAUACUACCAUGCUAACCACCAUCAAUGCCGUCGCCCUAUCCAACCACACCUUUAUCUACACCUAACAACACACUAAAUGAAUAGAUGCCAGUUGUGCACUGCAUGUCUUGUCAGACCCGGAGAGUGACAUGGUAACACAGGCGACAGGGACACUGAGCAGAGAUAAGAUAAACUUCCACAACUUUAAAACCUUAUUGAGAACAUCAGGCUUCCUUGGAACUCAUUCAUCCACAUUACAGAACAGGAACUUUCCCGGUUUAAGAUUCCGUACUCAGUAGACGCUAUCUUCUGUGGUUCUGUGCAGUGUCUGGGACAAGUCCUGCAAUAAAAGGCCUUUCCUGUUUCCAUUAUCACGUUAUAAAGUAAGUGUUGGAUUGUGUUGAGUGCUUCUAGAUAUAACAGUGAUUAAAUCUGUUAUGAGUGAGGGUAUUGUGAAAAGACUUGUUAUGAUCCCUUGAGCUCGGAUAAGUUUUAUACCUAGCAGAACAGGGUUAUAUAGUUCACAUGCAGGUUCAGAACCACGGACACAAAUGUGAUAACAUACACACAGGAAAAAGUAAGAUAAGUAUGCAAUAUCAAUUCAGUUUUAUUGAACAUUUAUUCAAUAAAAACUUUAAAACUGUCCCACUGGAAAUGAGCUCCCGUCCAACUCAUUUCGAUUCCAGGAUCUGUGGAGCAGAACCCUGUGACACGUACCAUAUGAACAUUCAUCCAAUUCAUUUCCUGUCUGCUUGACUGUAGAGUUGACAUGUAGACAUCGUGAAGACAUCGAGGCAUUGAUCCCCAGUUAUUAUAACCGAUUUCAAAUGGUGCUAGAAGGCUGUAAGGGGCUCUAAACACCAGAGGAAAUCAGUCAUCCUUUAAAGGGGAGAGAGAGAGGAUGGCUCCAGUAGACUGACACUACCAGAGGCACAGUGCUGUUCUCCUGUCCCCAAGAACACUGAUUUCAAAUGGUGCUAGACACUGGGAACAUUAAUCUAAACCACCAUGUGAAACCAGCCUCUGGGGGAAGACUUUCCCUGCCGGACAGUAGGGAUGCAGUGGAUGCACGGCAGCAGCAAAGAUUUUGGAGGAUACUUUGCUUAUUUAGAAACUCUGUGCAGCAGUUGUGACAUGGAUGACAAGUAAAUUUACAAAGACAGUCCACUCGUUUGGCUUAGCAUUUCUAUGCUUAACCUUACACAAACACAAUAAUUAUCAGUAUAAAGUGAUCUGUCAGUACAGAAUGUGAUCGUGACAGUACUUUGCUUUAGCAGGAAGUCAUUCUGAUGAAUGUCGUUGCCAUGGUAGCCCAGCUAUGAGGACAGCUGACGUGUGACAUCAUCCUCCACACUUUGG
Molecule: long non-coding RNA, 2233 nt
Filed under: Salmo salar (Atlantic salmon)
Lineage: Eukaryota; Metazoa; Chordata; Actinopteri; Salmoniformes; Salmonidae
Description: lncRNA (ENSSSAG00000094041.1)
Source: RNAcentral